GUGAAACUUUGGCGAACCAAGUAUAUGUUGUUGCUACGGAGGAACUCUGAUACCAUGCAUAAAAGCUCUCUGCUGCGGGGUAAAUUGUGGCAUCGCCAUUUCAAAGUGUACGGGGUAUUAUACGAGAGAAUGCGUUUCAGCACAAACAACUCGAAAGCACAAAUUCCAUGGAAAUUCCACGGAACUCUCAUGCGAGUAAAAAUGAAUUCAUAAUGAAGCAAGAACAGCACCAACAGAGAAAAAUGUAACGCUUUCAUAGGCUUUUUGGAGGA
Molecule: long non-coding RNA, 272 nt
Filed under: Paramuricea clavata
Lineage: Eukaryota; Metazoa; Cnidaria; Anthozoa; Malacalcyonacea; Plexauridae
Source: RNAcentral